UGGGGAAUUUUGGACAAUGGGCGAAAGCCUGAUCCAGCAAUGCCGCGUGUGUGAAGAAGGCCUUCGGGUUGUAAAGCACUUUUGUCCGGAAAGAAAUCCUUGGCUCUAAUACAGUCGGGGGAUGACGGUACCGGAAGAAUAAGCACCGGCUAACUACGUGCCAGCAGCCGCGGUAAUACGUAGGGUGCAAGCGUUAAUCGGAAUUACUGGGCGUAAAGCGUGCGCAGGCGGUUUGCUAAGACCGAUGUGAAAUCCCCGGGCUCAACCUGGGAACUGCAUUGGUGACUGGCAGGCUAGAGUAUGGCAGAGGGGGGUAGAAUUCCACGUGUAGCAGUGAAAUGCGUAGAGAUGUGGAGGAAUACCGAUGGCGAAGGCAGCCCCCCUGGGCCAAUACUGACGCUCAUGCACGAAAAGCGUGGGGAGCAAACAGGAUUAGAUACCCUGGUAGUCCACGCCCUAAACGAUGUCAACUAGUUGUUGGGGAUUCAUUUCCUUAGUAACGUAGCUAACGCGUGAAGUUGACCGCCUGGGGAGUACGGUCGCAAGAUUAAAACUCAAAUGAAUUGACGGGGUCAUAGCUGUUUCCU
Molecule: ribosomal RNA, 587 nt
Filed under: uncultured bacterium
Lineage: Bacteria
Description: partial 16S ribosomal RNA
Rfam family: Bacterial small subunit ribosomal RNA
Source: RNAcentral